UUUUCUUAACUUUUUCUAUAAUGAUACAUGCUAGUUAAAUUUAACAAUACCGUGAGUAUAAUAAGUACAAUAACUCUAAGUAAUUUAACCUUAAUGGUAUCAGAAUAAAAAUUCAAAAACACCUAGAAAAUCCACACCUGCAGUACUUAACAUUUUCCAAUAAGUAAAAGCUUGAUUAAGUAAUAGAAAAAAGAAUUGGUAAAUUAUGUGCCAGCCACCGCGGUUAUACAUAAAAUUCUAGUUAAGAAAAAACGGUUAAAACUGUGGUAAAAUUUCACUAACAAUCUCCUGAAAUAGAAAUAAAACUUUAGCAGUAAUAAGCUACACAGUUAUAUAAUUUCAAUUACGAAAAACCAAUUUCAGAUUAUUGAUCCCACCAAAGCUCCAAAAUAAACUGGGAUUAGAUACCCCACUAUAUGAGCUAUAAAAUUAAGACAAACACCAGAGAACUACGAACUAAAGUUUAAAACUCAAAGGACUUGGCGGUUUUCUACACCUACCUGGAGGAGCUUGCUAUCUAAC
RNAcentral lists this ribosomal RNA (522 nucleotides) under Brisinga sp. 2 RSIOAS023. Its description in RNAcentral is "partial small subunit ribosomal RNA". The record is from RNAcentral. Lineage: Eukaryota; Metazoa; Echinodermata; Asteroidea; Brisingida; Brisingidae. RNAcentral also lists the same sequence under 1 other name.